ACAUGUCCCUCGAGUGAGGACUGUCUACUUAGUGCUCUACAUAAAUUAUUAUAAACUUAGUUGUCCUCAAGUCAAGGAAAGUAAUUUACUGAUAUUUCCCGGCGCAGAGUACUUGAUUAUUGUGAAUUGUGCAAUAUUUGUUGUUAUUUUUGGUUGAAAUGGCGAAACCUGCUUCUACUAUUAAAGAGUUGAACGUUCGGGUUGACAUGCUGUCAGAAGAACUAAGAAAAGGUAUUGAAGAUUUCAAAAAUGAAUUUUUGAAGUCUCAGUCUUCUACCCCUGCAAUAGCUGAUAUUGGUGAAAAUCCAUUGGAUCUCCUGGAGGCAUUCGAAAAAAGGAUGAAUGACGCUAUUCAUCAUAUCAAGGUCGACAUAGAUAGUCUUAGAAAUAAUGUAAACAUGGUAAAGAAGAAAGAGCAUAAUUCGGAGAUGAAACGUAAUCUCUGUUUUCUACUUAUACAUGGGAUUCCUGAAUCUGAACGGGAUAUAUAUGAUGCUGUUAUAAAGUUGUGUAAUAAUAAGAUUGAAGUUCUUCUGAAAAAGGAGGAUUUAAAUCAAUGUUAUCGAGUAGGAAGGAAAAAAACGGAUUCUGAUAAGCCCAGACCGAUCGCAGUACAGUUUCUAAGAAGGUGGAAUCGCGAUGCUGUGUUUGUAAACAAACGUAAACUCAAAGGAACUAAUAUUCUUAUAACGGAAAUGCUAACGUUAGAAAAUUUUAUAUUAUUCAAAAAGGCAAGAAGAACAUUUGGUAAAUCUGUGUGGACCCUUAAUGGUGUAAUUUAUGUUGAUUUAAAAGGUCAGAAGAAGGUAGUAAACAAUGAAGAAGACCUGAAUGAUAUAUUGGUGGGUUGACUCUUUGUAUUCUCAUAGUUUUGUUUCAUUGGUGUUGGAAUAAUCAGGGUUACUGAAUGAGAUAUAAUUUUACUAUAUAGUUGUUAUUAAUUGAGGAUCAUGAUUGGCGAGCCAUUGAUAGUGAUUUUCUACAGAUACCAGGUUAUUCCUUUGUGAGAAAUGAUAGAGAGGGAAGGGGAGGUGGAGUUGCUGCUUACAUAAAACAAAAUUUUAAAUAUCAAAUUAUUUCAAUUGGACAGCAGGUAAGUAAUAAAACUGAGUAUUUGCUCAUAGAGUUAAUUGUUGGCCAUCGCAAGAUAAUAGUCGCCACAUUUUAUCGUCCUCCUCGUUAUAAUUUGAAUAAUUUUAUAAAUGAUGUUGACAUCGUAUUCCCUUGUAUUACCCCUACUGCGGACGAAAUUCUGUGUCUUGGUGAUAUGAAUGUUGAUUUUUUGGGACCGGAAACUCCUUUGUCGACAUGCCUAGAGUCAUAUGGCUUGAAACAAUUUUUGAAGGAACC
Coccinella septempunctata (seven-spotted ladybird) is the source of this 1350-nucleotide RNA transcript. RefSeq lists it as uncharacterized. Lineage: Eukaryota; Metazoa; Arthropoda; Insecta; Coleoptera; Coccinellidae. The transcript has 2 exons. The record is from RefSeq and is a predicted model, not a curated record.